AUGACAAAACCACUAGAAUAUCAUUACUCCAUAGUAAAACGCAUUCUAUGUUACUUGAGUGGUACGAAAAGACAUGAGCUUCUUGCACCAGCUCAACACCUUCCUAAAUUCUCUAUAUGCGCAUAUAAUGAUUUUGAUUGGACCAGUGACCCUGAUGAUCGACGCUCUAUUUCAGGAACUUGUGUUUUCUUUGGUCCAAAUCUCGUGGCAUGA
Molecule: non-coding RNA, 213 nt
Organism: Vicia faba (fava bean)
Lineage: Eukaryota; Viridiplantae; Streptophyta; Magnoliopsida; Fabales; Fabaceae
Source: the annotation of a GenBank genome assembly